AAAAGAGCCUGGAAAUCCCGCACCAUCACCGAAGUGGGUCUUAGAGGAAUAGACGGCGCGGAUGGGAUCGCGGACCCAGCGGCAGAUUGCUGUUGAGGAUUGAGUUCUGCUGAGGGUGCCGUGAGUGAAGCUCCACACUGGACGACAGGAGCAUUCGACCGGGUCAUCAUCCAUCAACACUUCUCUGGUAAGAUACUGGUUUGCUGUAUUCAGCCCAUCACAGGAUUAAAGCAUCUCUGGCUGCGAGCAGCAGCACUUGAAGUAGACCAUGAUCUCCUGGAGAGAGUGAAUGAGUGUGUUAGA
Onychostoma macrolepis is the source of this 303-nucleotide long non-coding RNA. RefSeq lists it as uncharacterized. The transcript has 3 exons. The record is from RefSeq and is a predicted model, not a curated record. Lineage: Eukaryota; Metazoa; Chordata; Actinopteri; Cypriniformes; Cyprinidae.